AGCGAACGCUGGCGGCAGGCCUAACACAUGCAAGUCGAACGGAUCCCUCGGGAUUAGUGGCGGACGGGUGAGUAACACGUGGGAACGUGCCCUUUGGUUCGGAACAACUCAGGGAAACUUGAGCUAAUACCGGAUGUGCCCUUCGGGGGAAAGAUUUAUCGCCAUUGGAGCGGCCCGCGUCUGAUUAGCUAGUUGGUGAGGUAACGGCCCAUCAAGGCGACGAUCAGUAGCUGGUCUGAGAGGAUGAUCAGCCACACUGGGACUGAGACACGGCCCAGACUCCUACGGGAGGCAGCAGUGGGGAAUCUUGCGCAAUGGGCGAAAGCCUGACGCAGCCAUGCCGCGUGAAUGAUGAAGGUCUUAGGAUUGUAAAAUUCUUUCAGCGGGGACGAUAAUGACGGUACCCGCAGAAGAAGCUCCGGCUAACUUCGUG
RNAcentral lists this ribosomal RNA (433 nucleotides) under uncultured bacterium. Its description in RNAcentral is "partial 16S ribosomal RNA". It matches the Rfam family "Bacterial small subunit ribosomal RNA", at positions 29 to 507 of the family's 1533-position model. The record is from RNAcentral.